CCUACGGGAGGCAGCAGUGGGGAAUAUUGCACAAUGGGCGCAAGCCUGAUGCAGCGACGCCGCGUGAGGGAUGACGGCCUUCGGGUUGUAAACCUCUUUCAGCAGGGAAGAAGCCGCAAGGUGACGGUACCUGCAGAAGAAGCGCCGGCUAACUACGUGCCAGCAGCCGCGGUAAU
RNAcentral lists this ribosomal RNA (176 nucleotides) under uncultured Streptomyces sp. RNAcentral's name for it is "partial 16S ribosomal RNA". It matches the Rfam family "Bacterial small subunit ribosomal RNA", at positions 338 to 524 of the family's 1533-position model. Lineage: Bacteria; Bacillati; Actinomycetota; Actinomycetes; Kitasatosporales; Streptomycetaceae. The record is from RNAcentral.